AUUGAACGCUGGCGGCAUGCUUUACACAUGCAAGUCGAACGGCAGCGCGGGCUUCGGCCUGGCGGCGAGUGGCGCACGGGUGAGUAAUGCAUCGGAACGUGCCCAGUAGUGGGGGAUAGCACGGCGAAAGCCGGAUUAAUACCGCAUACGACCUGAGGGUGAAAGCGGGGGACCGAAAGGCCUCGCGCUAUUGGAGCGGCCGAUGUCGGAGUAGCUAGUUGGUGGGGUAAAGGCUUACCAAGGCGACGAUCCGUAGCUGGUCUGAGAGGACGACCAGCCACACUGGGACUGAGACACGGCCCAGACUCCUACGGGAGGCAGCAGUGGGGAAUUGUGGACAAUGGGGGCAACCAUGAUCCAGCCAUGCCGCGUGCGAGAAGAAGGCCUUCGGGUUGUAAACCGCUUUUGUUCGGGAAGAAAUCCUCUGGGCUAAGACCCCGGGGGGAUGACGGUACCGGAAGAAGAAGCACCGGCUAACUACGUG
RNAcentral lists this ribosomal RNA (484 nucleotides) under uncultured bacterium. RNAcentral describes it as "partial 16S ribosomal RNA". It matches the Rfam family "Bacterial small subunit ribosomal RNA", at positions 29 to 507 of the family's 1533-position model. The record is from RNAcentral.